Molecule: transfer RNA, 73 nt
Filed under: Neotoma lepida (desert woodrat)
Lineage: Eukaryota; Metazoa; Chordata; Mammalia; Rodentia; Cricetidae
Rfam family: tRNA
About the family: Transfer RNA (tRNA) molecules are approximately 80 nucleotides in length. Their secondary structure includes four short double-helical elements and three loops (D, anti-codon, and T loops).
Source: Rfam by way of RNAcentral
GCCCAGCUAGCUCAGUCGGUAGAGCAUGGUACUCUUAAUCUUAGGGUGGUGGGUUUGUGCCCCAUGUUGGGCG